UGGCUCAGGACGAACGCUGGCGGCGUGCCUAAUACAUGCAAGUCGAACGGUCUUUCUAUGGAAGCUUGCUUCCACUGAGAAGAUAGUGGCGAACGGGUGAGUAACACGUGGGUAACCUGCCCAUAAGAGGGGGGAUAACAUCCGGAAACGGGUGCUAAUACCGCAUAGUUUUCUUGAUCGCAUGAUUGAGAAAGGAAAGACGGCCUUUGUGCUGUCGCUUAUGGAUGGACCCGCGGCGUAUUAGUUAGUUGGUGAGGUAACGGCUCACCAAGACGAUGAUACGUAGCCGACCUGAGAGGGUGAUCGGCCACAUUGGGACUGAGACACGGCCCAAACUCCUACGGGAGGCAGCAGUAGGGAAUCUUCCGCAAUGGACGAAAGUCUGACGGAGCAACGCCGCGUGAGUGAAAGAAGGUUUUCGGAUCGUAAAACUCUGUUGUCAGAGAAGAACAAGUUGGAGAGUAACUGCUCCAGCCUUGACGGUAUCUGACCAGAAAGCCACGGCUAACUACGUGCCAGCCGCGGC
Molecule: ribosomal RNA, 526 nt
Filed under: uncultured bacterium
Lineage: Bacteria
Description: bacterial SSU rRNA
Rfam family: Bacterial small subunit ribosomal RNA
Source: RNAcentral